UUGGAGGGCAAGUCUGGUGCCAGCAGCCGCGGUAAUUCCAGCUCCAAUAGCGUAUAUUAAAGUUGCUGCAGUUAAAAAGCUCGUAGUUGAAUUUCGGGACCAAUAUGUCGGUCGUGCCUCGGUACGUACUGGCAUCGUUGGUUUCUCCCUUCUGACGAACCAUGAUGUCAUUUAUUUGGUGUCGUGGGGAAUCAGGACUGUUACUUUGAAAAAAUUAGAGUGUUUAAAGCAGGCUCACGCUUGAAUACAUUAGCAUGGAAUAAUGAAAUAGGACGUUUGAUUCUAUUUUGUUGGUUUCUAGGAUUGACGUAAUGAUUAAUAGGGAUAGUAGGGGGCAUUAGUAUUCAAUUGUCAGAGGUGAAAUUCUUGGAUUUAUUGAAGACUAACUACUGCGAAAGCAUUUGCCAAGGAUGUUUUCAUUAAUCAAGAACGAAAGUUAGGGGAUCGAAGACGAUCAGAUACCGUCGUAGUCUUAACCAUAAACUAUGCCGACUAGGGAUCGGAUGAUGUUAAUUUUUUAAUGACUCAUUCGGCGCCUUACGGGAAAC
RNAcentral lists this ribosomal RNA (548 nucleotides) under uncultured Glomus. Its description in RNAcentral is "SSU rRNA". It matches the Rfam family "Eukaryotic small subunit ribosomal RNA", at positions 548 to 1098 of the family's 1831-position model. The record is from RNAcentral. Lineage: Eukaryota; Fungi; Glomeromycota; Glomeromycetes; Glomerales; Glomeraceae.